CGCGUAGGUAACCUGCCUGGUAGCGGGGGAUAACUAUUGGAAACGAUAGCUAAUACCGCAUAACAGUAGAUGUUGCAUGACAUUUGCUUAAAAGGUGCAAUUGCAUCACUACCAGAUGGACCUGCGUUGUAUUAGCUAGUUGGUGGGGUAACGGCUCACCAAGGCGACGAUACAUAGCCGACCUGAGAGGGUGAUCGGCCACACUGGGACUGAGACACGGCCCAGACUCCUACGGGAGGCAGCAUG
RNAcentral lists this ribosomal RNA (246 nucleotides) under uncultured bacterium. RNAcentral describes it as "partial 16S ribosomal RNA". It matches the Rfam family "Bacterial small subunit ribosomal RNA", at positions 114 to 353 of the family's 1533-position model. The record is from RNAcentral.